Molecule: long non-coding RNA, 1878 nt
Organism: Talpa occidentalis (Iberian mole)
Lineage: Eukaryota; Metazoa; Chordata; Mammalia; Eulipotyphla; Talpidae
Exons: 3
Source: RefSeq, a predicted model, not a curated record
UAGAGAACCCAAGAUCACCUCCCAUCUCAAGAUCUGUAAUUUAAUUACAUCGAAGCAAUCCCUUUUUACUAUAUAAGGUGUCAUUCACAGGUUCUGGAGAUGAGGACAUGAAUAUCCUGGAUCUAUCCUGGGGCUACUAUUCAGCCAACCAUAGUAUCUUUUGCAACUCCGUCUUGGUAGCUGUAAUCUUUUUCUGUGCAAGUAGAUUUCUGCCCCCAGGAGAGAUUCUUCAAAGCCAACUCUGACCAAGACAUACCCCGCAUAUAACUCUAGGGUGGUUCCUGGGAUUUAAAGACCCAAGUCCAGCUCCCAUUCUGCAGUCGGUGGCACUGGCCUCUGGGUUCCCUUCUCACAGCUCUUCCACUGCCAUCCAGCACCCUCAGCUCACCCCCUUGUCAUUCCCUUAAGUAAUGUUUCACUCACCUGCUGUGUCUGUGCUCAUUCUGGACCUGCUGUCCAGGUCCAGGUCACUUUCUCUGAUGGCCCAGUCUCCUGCAGCUUGCUGCUCAUGUCUCCAGCAUUAACAGAUAUAUGAGUUGUUGCUGCCUGACUCCCUGGGUAGGAACCUACUCACUCCUCUCUGUACUCACCUGCCUGGCUGACACAACCCCGAUGUGCAUGAAUGUGAGUAAAGAUUAACAGCCUGUAUCUCAGGGCCAGGUAUAGAGCAGGUUCUUGGAAAAUGUGAAUAGUGUUCUCUUUUUACUAUAAUGCCCUGUUUCCUGAGUUGCCAUUUAAAGGAACUAUGUAGUACUGUUGGUUUCCUUUCUCAACUUUCUGCCUGAAAAUUGGGAAUAAAUCCCAGUAUUCUCUGCACACCCACGCAUGGGUACACAAAAACACAUAGACCUUUCCCUUGGGCAGACAAGCCAGGGGUCUGACAGCGCAUAGGAGUAGAUAAAGUCACCUUCCAUAAAAACAAGACUACCUUUCCUUCCCUUUAUUUCCUGGUCCCAUUUUGUCCUUCCCAAGGGACUAUGAGCCUCAGGGAUGGAAUUGUGCAACCAGUGCUGCUCCCAUUCUUGGGAGAUCGGAACUCUGGAAUUCUUAGCAAGAAGUGGCAGAAUUCCAGUGGGCAGAGGCCCUGGAACUUGAGGCGCUGGUGAGGUCACAUGUGUGUCUUUGUCAUCCACUUGCAUAGACAAAAUUCCUCACUGGGUGUGAUCCCCCACCCCCACCCCAGUGGGAGGAAAAUUAAGACACCAGCUCUCAGGAGAGAGGAGAUGAAUGUACAGUCGAGAUAAUGCAGUAUACUUUGGAUUAAGACCCAACAUUCAGGCUGAAGCUCUAUUCCACAUAAGUGAGACUAUGCGGUACUUGUCUUUCUCAGUCUGGCUUAUUUGAAUUAGUGCAAUGGCCCAUCUGUGCUGUCACAAAUGGGCAAACUCCAGAGGAAACAUGGUAGAAGUGAGCAUGCAAGAAGAGUCUGGGACAGGCUUAUCUGCGUGGUUACUGAUAUAACGCUGUAAGACCUAUGAGUUGUCCUACCCAGUGUGCAGGCAAGAGUGACAAUGUAAAUGGUGAGUGCAGUUUGUGGGGUCUGCCCCACUGUCCCUCAUGGAAAGCUCUGUUUAAGGAGUCAAAAGUUACCUUGCCCACUAUGUGGAUUAUUAGUGCAGAUCCUCCAGAUUUUGUAAUAAGCAAAGUUUUCUCCCUGGAGUUCCAAGGCAGGACCAGAGGCCAGAGUGGGUCUCCUGUUUGGUGCCAUGCACAUGAGGUAGUGACAGAUCCAGGGUACCUGGUGCUGCCGCUUCAUGACAUGGAUGAUCCUGGCAGGCAGGCAGGCUGCAGGUCAUCACCAUCCCUUGCAGAAGUGACCUAGCACUGGGAUGAGACAGCUCAGGUGGACCCAGAGAACUUGGCUGAGGAGCUAUGGAA